CAGUGGGGAAUCGGCAGUGAGGAAGUGAGGAUAUUUAUAUAAUUUGAAUUAUUAUUUUAUAACAUGUUAACUUUUGUGUGUGUGUUGGUGGAGCAGAGACAGGUGGCGCUUGGCAAGGUGAGUGUUUUGGCCGGCGCUGGUCAGUCUUGCCCCACGCACUCUGGUGAUAAGUGUUUCCGUAUUCCCGGCAGCUUCUCCCUGUACCAAGCACCGCCACGCAGCACCAGAGAGCCAUGAGUACGUAAGUGAGCUGGCUGGAGUUGUGAAGCGAGUGUGGCAGCGAGCCCUAUGCUGCCGACAGUGGUGUUGGGAGGCCGCAGCAAAGUGUGCGUGGAAGAUGCCAGUGGAGGCGGCAGUCUGUGUGGCAGGGCCUUGGGGGGUAAAGUCUUGGCCUGGCCACCCUGCCUGUGACCUGUGGCCUCUUGUUGCUUCACCAUGUUAAGAGGGUGGUGCUGUGAAGCUGGUGGCACAGGAGCUGACCAGUGCUGCAGGAAGACAGCACACAGCUUCAGUAUCUUCCAUGAUAGUGUUUAAAUAUACUGUGUUGGUUUGUUUAUUAGCAGUCAGAUUAAUUUGCUUUGCUUAGUCUUCAUUUAUUCUUUAUUUAGUGUUGGCAUAUAUAUAUAAUUGUUUAAUCUUUUAUUUAGAUUAAUUUUUCCCUGUGUGUUUAUUGUGUUGGCAAAUGUCUUCCCCUUUACAAGCUUAUUCCUUGUUGUAGGUCAGUUCAAAGUGGAGCAUUUUGACUCCUAAUACUUGACUCACCGUACUCAUCAUCAAGCUGUGUCCUGUACUUCGUGUGUAAGCUUCCAUAUCUUUGAGUCGUGCAUCUAAUACACUCUUCACUGUUCACCUGCACACGUUGAGCCUCGCCACAUUCAUGCAGGACGGAACAAAACGAAGCCUGUCCAUUUUGUGUGUCCAUUCUUUAUUCUAGGCACUGUACAAGAUGCAUCGUUUGUAUAUGUAAUGCUGUGUGUGUGUAAGGGGGACACUUAUUGAUGAGGGGCUGUGGGGAGUCACUGUGGGGUUCGUAAACAUACUGUGGGGUACAUACUGUGGGGCUGUGGGCUGUCUGUGGUGAGGUGAGGAGAGAGAGAGAGAGAGAGAGAGAGAGAGAGAGAGAGAGAGAGAGAGAGAGAGAGAGAGAGAGAAGGCGUGGAAACGAGAGGGACAAGCACAGCACAUACAACACAGCAAGGACUCAGACAACACAGCCAAUGAGAUGAGGCUGUUCAUGCCACACCAAGAAAUGCAGCUUCCCAUACACAUGUGGUCACCUGUGUACACACACACACACACACACACACACAUGGUUUGGUUAGGUUUGUUUGUUUGUUUUUAAUGUACAAGGGACACCAACCAAGGGCAACAAAAGUCUAAUAAAAAAAAAAAGAAAGAAAGGUCCAUUUUUUUGAGGGGUUAGGUUAAUUUAGUUUUGUUAGGUUAGGCUAGGUGGUGGUGACAGCCAGCCAGCCAGCCAGCCACCCAGCUAGCCAAAGUCAGUCAGUCAGUCAGUCAGCCAGCCAGCCAGUCAGUCAGUCAGUCAGUCAGUCAG
Molecule: long non-coding RNA, 1555 nt
Organism: Scylla paramamosain (green mud crab)
Lineage: Eukaryota; Metazoa; Arthropoda; Malacostraca; Decapoda; Portunidae
Exons: 3
Source: RefSeq, a predicted model, not a curated record